Acanthopagrus latus (yellowfin seabream) is the source of this 291-nucleotide long non-coding RNA. RefSeq lists it as uncharacterized. The transcript is spliced from 3 exons. The record is from RefSeq and is a predicted model, not a curated record. Lineage: Eukaryota; Metazoa; Chordata; Actinopteri; Spariformes; Sparidae.
AGGUUUAACUCGAUGCCUGCCACGGGACUUUGAGUUGAGCAGCCCCAGAUCGGCGCGGCUUCUGUCAAACGCCAUCAAGAACUGCUGUGGUAUUACUCAUCAGGAAACAUAACUGGACAAAGGCAACAGAGGCCCACAAGUGUCUGUGUCGAAGUAGACGGGAAGGAAACAGCCUUGGAGUUGCCAUGGCAAGCUUUCCACAUGAACCCGCAGCUGAAAGGAGAGACAGCGUUUCAACCAAGCCCAUUUUGCCUGAAUAUGAUAUUUACUAAUUUGCAGUAAAAAAGUGCC